GCCAGCAUUUCGGGUGGGAACUCUAUGGAGACUGCCGGUGAUAAACCGGAGGAAGGUGGGGACGACGUCAAGUCAUCAUGGCCCUUACGAGUAGGGCUACACACGUGCUACAAUGGCGCAUACA
RNAcentral lists this ribosomal RNA (124 nucleotides) under uncultured bacterium. RNAcentral describes it as "partial 16S ribosomal RNA". It matches the Rfam family "Bacterial small subunit ribosomal RNA", at positions 1117 to 1241 of the family's 1533-position model. The record is from RNAcentral.